This 787-nucleotide ribosomal RNA is filed under the name Proctophyllodes stylifer. Its description in RNAcentral is "partial large subunit ribosomal RNA". It matches the Rfam family "Eukaryotic large subunit ribosomal RNA", at positions 77 to 646 of the family's 3401-position model. The record is from RNAcentral. Lineage: Eukaryota; Metazoa; Arthropoda; Arachnida; Sarcoptiformes; Proctophyllodidae.
CCCUUAGUAACGGCGAGCGAAAAGGGAAAUGUCCAGCGCCAAGUCUUGACAUGUAAUGGUGUUCAAGAGAUGCGGCGUUAAUGUAUCGACCCAUCAUGCAUUGUUCCACAUUUCAAGUUCCUACGACCGGGACUUCCAGAGCGGGUGUAAGACCCAUAGAGAUGAGGAACCCAAUGUAUGCUGAGCGAUGCAUUCUAGAGUCAGGUUGCUUGAGAGUGCAGCUUAAAGUCGGUGGUAAACUCCAUCCAAGACUAAAUACUACAGCGAGACCGAUAGCAAACAAGUACCGUGAGGGAAAGUUGCAAAGCACUUUGAAGAGAGAGUUCAAAAGUACGUGAAACCACUGGGAGGCAAACAGAUGGAACCACGAAGUGUGCGCCUCGGUCGAUUCAAUCAUCACUUUCGAUCAGUUGUAGUUGAUCAGGAUCUUUUCGGAGAUUGAUUCUCUACAAUUAUGAUUGAAGGUGUUGGUGCAUUUCGUGCCGGGGAUGCAAAGCCACGUUCAACUAGCGGGUUGGGACGGCUGUAAGAAAGAAUCCGAGAAAGGUGACCGUCAAGUGCUUGCAUUUGACGGCGUUAUAGUCUUGGAUUGGCACCGUCACCUAACAUACUGGUUGAUGGAAAUUCUCCAUUCGGAAUUGAACCAUAUCUGCCUGGGAUUGGUAGUCCAAGUUGCCUAAAGUUCUUUGCGUAUCUUUCCAUGCCAAAAGGGUUUGCCAAAAUGGCGGCUAAUGGUUGCUUGGCUGAUAUGGUGGAACUGUGGCCUGAAUAGGGCGGUCUCCAUCUG